GUGCCCGAGUCACAUUUCUUAUCACAUCCUUUUCAUUUCCCCCAGGGUUUGGCAUUUCCCCUUUUCUGAUUGGCUGCCUCCCCAGGGCCUGGGCCUCAGUGCUGGUGGCCCUCUGGGGGUCGGGAGCGCAUAAAUAGUUCCUGCUGGGGAAACUGGGAAACUGGUCUCAGACAAGAGGAACAGACAUCUCUGCCACGCACUGCUGCCUGGAGCUGCAUGAGGUCCCAGUGCUGCCAGCGUGUCUUCUGUGUAUAGCCCCAUGCACCUCUGCCUCAGCCACAGCCCUUCCCCGCAGCAGCUCCCGCGGCCUGGCCUGGUAGAGCUGCAGUCCCAGGCCUCCUUCUACUCCUUCCUGGUACGACUGCAUGAACCCCAGAGACCCAAGAAGCGAGUAGUGUUUGCAGACACGAAGGGGAUCUCGUUGACAUCCGUGUACAAGUUUGAAGAUGCUGUGGGCAGACACGUGUCCCAUGUUCAGUUUCCUGCGCCCUGAGCCACCUGGCUGGCCAGAGCCACCACCUACGCUCUGGGCUUCCCCGCACCCAGGCAGGGUUCGGGGGUUCCAGAGGCGCCUGCAGGUGCAGAGUGUGCGCCCGGAGCAGCGUGCUGGGCAGGGGGCUUCCUGCGAGGCGCUGUCUAGCAGGCAGGCUGGGUUCCAGAAGGCAAGGCAGAUGCGCAUCACCUUUGAUGUCAGGGCUCCUUCCAAGAAGUGCCUAGUGUUCACACGGCCAGUCCUUGCAGAAGCGAGACUGACAGCUUCGCCUUCCAAGCCAUGUUGCCACUAGGUCCCCCAGGCCGGUGGGCACCAUUCAGUUCUGCUUCUGUUGUUGGGGAAAACAAUCAAGGGCAAACCUGUUGUUUGGUGCCCAGUUCUCAGUCACGCUCAUCACAAUGGCCUGCCCCAGCUGAUUCAAUCUGUAAAACAACCAGGUGGUUAACAGCGUAAAGCUAGAAGCAGCCAAACACACCGGCUUCCAGGGCCGCUCUGAACACAGCUGCAGCUUCCUCAUCUGAUAAGGAACGCUUUCAUAACUGCACCUGUUUCCUCCUGCUCCCUCUCCAGCCUUCUAGCCCUGCCUCCAUUAAGGGAUGAUCAGGAAUAGCUAACAUCCAUGCCCAUCUUCCUCUACUUUAUACGCGGGAUGCCUACCACAGCAUGGCUUGAUGAGCGGUGCAAUGUCCGCACCUGGGAACCGAACCCGCGGACCCCAGGCCACCAAAGCGGAAUGUGCACACUUAACCGCUGCGCCACCGGGCCGGGGGUUUUUAUUUAAUGGGUAUUGAGUUUUCAUUUUUCAAGAUGAAAAAUUUCUAGAGAUCGGGUGUACAACAAUGUGAAUAUACUUAACACUACUGAACUGUGCCCUUAGAAAUGGUAAAGUUGGUAAGUUUUGUGUGUAUUUUACCACAACUAAUUUUUUUUAAAAAAAAAAGAACACAACUUUUGCUUAAUUUGGCUUUUUCUCUUGGUGCUUGGAAAUGAGCAUUGGUGUUGCUGGUUGUGUAGUAAACAGUUGUGGAUUCACCUCUUAAUGAAUGUUAAAGACUUUGUACGUUAAAAGGUGACCGUGGAAGGGAAAGGAAUUAUACAGCACACUUAUGGUGUUGUUCUACUGAGGGACAGAGUACCUUUCAAACGGAGUAUCUUCCCAGGUUCAUAGCACUGUGUGUCAUACACGCAGCAAACACAAUGAUUGUAGAGGCACAUUUUGGGAAAUGAGCUCAAAGUUAGGAUGGGAUGGGGAUCGUUAAACCUCUCACUGAGACCUUAAUCACUGUGACCCCCUUCUUUUAAUGGCCUAUCCUUCAUCAGGUACUUAAAAUUACUCACGUAGUUUUUGUAGCACAAGAGUAUUUUCAUCGUAGAAUGUGAAAAUACCUUCAACAAUAAUCUAGAGACAGUCCGAAUUCAGUGUCAAGGAAUUUAGUGCCGGCGAUGAGCCUGGUCAUGCUAUCAGGCAGUAGGCCUUCUCUAUAGAUAAACCCACGCCAUGUCUAAAUUCUCAAGCGUUACUUGCUCACUUUCUCUCUCUCCCAUUUGUAUUCUUUGUGCCUAGAAAUGACCAUGACAGAGAGAUGCCCAGAUCACUGACCUUUGCAAACAAAACUUUGGAGCCUAAGAGAACUAUAUUAACCCAGUUCUUACUGAUUUCCUCUUUGAGGGGGAAGUUUGAUUGCUUUCCCACACCAAAGAAGUUUAGAGAAUGUGCCAGUGAAUGGGUGCCUACUCUCACCUGGGUAUGUGUGCGUGUGUUGAUACCCAAGAAGUGAGUUUACUAUUUGGUUGGGCAAAGAAUCAAUGAACACGAUUUGUAUUGAGCCUGUAAUGUGUGUGACUUAUUUUUUAAUUUCAAAAUUAUUAUAUACAAGGAACUGUAAUAUUUGGUAAGAAUUGUGAGAAAAUUUAAACAUGAAUAGACACUAGCAGAGCAGACAGACAC
Equus caballus (horse) is the source of this 2441-nucleotide long non-coding RNA. Lineage: Eukaryota; Metazoa; Chordata; Mammalia; Perissodactyla; Equidae. The record is from Ensembl.